AGCGAACGUUGGCGGCGUGGUUUAGGCAUGCAAGUCGAACGGGGUUGAUUUCUUCGGAAUGAAAACCUAGUGGCGAAAGGGUGAGUAAUACAUCGAUCAUCUACCCUCGGGUCCGGGACAACAGCUGGAAACGGCUGCUAAUACCGGAUUGUCCAGGAAUGGUAAAGGUGGGGACCUUCGGGCCUGCCGCCUGAGGAGGAGUCGAUGGCCUAUCAGCUUGUUGGCGGGGUAAAAGCCCACCAAGGCUAAGACGGGUAGCCGGACUGAGAGGUUGGCCGGUCACACUGGGACUGAGACACUGCCCAG
This 306-nucleotide ribosomal RNA is filed under the name uncultured bacterium. Its description in RNAcentral is "bacterial SSU rRNA". It matches the Rfam family "Bacterial small subunit ribosomal RNA", at positions 29 to 334 of the family's 1533-position model. The record is from RNAcentral.